AGAGUCGACUCUUCAGCCAUCAACGCCUCGCGGUGCUUCCUGCCUGCCCUUCCUCAGAUGCUCCCCUUGCCCUAUCAAUACGUCCACCCCAGGUAGGUCGGACACCCUACGAACAUUCCGCGUUCCCCGGGAGCAAAUGAUGCUAGGAAAACAGGGUGCGGGCUCUUAUUUGGCCGGAGUGGAGUGACCAGGUCAGCGCCGCAGCUGCUAACCACCACCAACCACAGUUUUGAAAGUUCCUGGGCUUUUUCCGGCCUGAGGGCCGACGCUGUUUGCAAAAUCACAAGCACUCCUUAGAGCGGGGUUAGGAAUCUAGAGUUUCCAAAUCCCUGGAACCUUUAGCAUCUCGCCAAGCCUCCCUCAUCAAAGGAGGGAAGUGAAAUCAGAGCCCCACUCCGGCUGUUUUAGAAGUUUUCCCGAAUCCGUGAUCCCUUUACAAAGCCCGGGCCCUGGCCUGCGGGGCGGGGCGCGCGAACGGCGAGCUAUUCCACCAGAGAUCCCUCCACGACCUCCAGCGGCAUCCGCGACCCUGCAGCUUGCUCUCCAGCCACGGCGAGCACGGGCCGGGGGAGAGGCGAGCGGGAAGGGCGAACGGCGACCCCCGCGCUGCCCCGCGGCCGCUUCCCCCUACGGUGCUGCCCCAGGCAGGAGGCGGACAAGGCUCAUUUGGACCCCCCGAGGCCGGUGCAGGCGG
Molecule: long non-coding RNA, 694 nt
Filed under: Homo sapiens (human)
Lineage: Eukaryota; Metazoa; Chordata; Mammalia; Primates; Hominidae
Description: HSALNT0370947
Source: RNAcentral